RNAcentral lists this ribosomal RNA (226 nucleotides) under uncultured Porphyromonadaceae bacterium. RNAcentral describes it as "partial 16S ribosomal RNA". It matches the Rfam family "Bacterial small subunit ribosomal RNA", at positions 796 to 1041 of the family's 1533-position model. Lineage: Bacteria; Pseudomonadati; Bacteroidota; Bacteroidia; Bacteroidales; Porphyromonadaceae. The record is from RNAcentral.
CACGCGGUAAACGAUGAUUACUGGUUGUUCGCGAUACACUGUGAGCGACUGAGCGAAAGCGUUAAGUAAUCCACCUGGAAUGAAACUCAAAGGAAUUGACGGGGGCCCGCACAAGCGGAGGAACAUGUGGUUUAAUUCGAUGAUACGCGAGGAACCUUACCCGGGCUUGAAAUGCAUCUGACCGGCAAAGAGAUUUGCUUUUUCCUCGGAACGGAUGCGUAGGUGC